RNAcentral lists this transfer RNA (77 nucleotides) under Bacteroidia bacterium. RNAcentral describes it as "tRNA-Ala". It matches the Rfam family "tRNA". Rfam says of the family: Transfer RNA (tRNA) molecules are approximately 80 nucleotides in length. The record is from RNAcentral. Lineage: Bacteria; Pseudomonadati; Bacteroidota; Bacteroidia.
GGGGGUAUAGCUCAGUUGGCUAGAGCGCGUGACUGGCAGUCACGAGGUCAGGUGUUCGAUUCCCCUUAUCUCCACCU